Molecule: long non-coding RNA, 492 nt
Filed under: Vitis vinifera (wine grape)
Lineage: Eukaryota; Viridiplantae; Streptophyta; Magnoliopsida; Vitales; Vitaceae
Description: long non-coding RNA (VVIN_LNC001730)
Source: RNAcentral
AGUUUCUUCCUAUCUACUGCCACGUACCAAAAUGACCAAGGGUUGAUUGUAGUUUUUCCAAAAUUUAUUAAUUCAUAUCAUGUUGUGUGCUGAUGUGAUUUGUUCCAAUUGUAAAACCAUUAUUUAUGUUCUAUAUGUGAUGUAUCUAAUGAAGUAUUCCACAUCCCAUUGUAAUAGUGGCAGUUGGGUUAUGCUGAAUAUGAGGACUUUAUGUACAAGAAUGACCAACGUGUAAGGGAAAGGAAGAGUACCUGGUAAUGCUGCUGCUGGAGCAUAUGGGAUGCAGUAACAACAAUGUAAUAGGGUUGUUCAUUUUUCCUUCAAUAUUGUAAAGGAAUGGAGUAGGAACAUGGACAACACUCAGUAUUUGUUCUUUUAUUAUAGUUAAGGGUGCUGGUCAGUGUUGUAUUGGCGACUGAUUGGACAACAACUGUGAUUGUAAGAUGUGAUCCAAAGUGAUAGGUUUAUUAUGGGGUAUGGUACUAAUUUCAU